This 349-nucleotide ribosomal RNA is filed under the name Wolbachia pipientis. Its description in RNAcentral is "bacterial SSU rRNA". It matches the Rfam family "Bacterial small subunit ribosomal RNA", at positions 1068 to 1416 of the family's 1533-position model. Lineage: Bacteria; Pseudomonadati; Pseudomonadota; Alphaproteobacteria; Rickettsiales; Anaplasmataceae. The record is from RNAcentral.
UGAGAUGGUGGGUAAAGUCCCGCAACGAGCCUAAUCCUCAUCCUUAGUUACCAUCAGGUAAUGCUGGGGACUUUAAGGAAACUGCCAGUGAUAAACUGGAGGAAGGUGGGGAUGAUGUCAAGUCAUCAUGGCCCUUAUGGAGUGGGCUACACACGUGCUACAAUGGUGGCUACAAUGGGCUGCCCAGUCUCGAGGCUAAUCUAAUCCCUUAAAAGCCAUCUCAGUUCGGAUUGUACUCUGCAACUCGAGUGCAUGAAGUUGGAAUCGCUAGUAAUCGUGGAUCAGCACGCCACGGUGAAUACGUUCUCGGGUCUUGUACACACUGCCCGUCACGCCAUGGGAAUUGGUU